RNAcentral lists this long non-coding RNA (1327 nucleotides) under Fukomys damarensis (Damara mole-rat). Its description in RNAcentral is "lncRNA (ENSFDAG00000029612.1)". The record is from RNAcentral. Lineage: Eukaryota; Metazoa; Chordata; Mammalia; Rodentia; Bathyergidae.
UGUCUGUAUGUGUGUGUGUGUGUGUGUGUGUAUAUAUAUAUAUAUAUAGUGUAUGUUUUUCUUUUUAUUAAAGUGAAAGCAUCAGUGGACCAGAGCAGUGCACGCUUGGGAAGCUCCCAGCCAGGGCACCACCAUGACCUCAGCUGUUUGGGCCCACAGGCCACAGCAAAAAAGCCUGCCUGAAAUAGAGCUGCACAAAUGCACAAGCAAUAGCAAGGGGCCUGCCCAGAUUCCAUUAGAAGAAGAUAACUCAAUAUCUGUAUUUCCAAUGGGUUUUAAAAGAGCUUCAGGAAGCCAGAGAUGGGGCGGGGUUUCCAGUUUUCACCAGUCUGCUGGAAGUGAGAAGGCCUAUGUGGGGGAGGGGCCCACACUGAUGGCUUCACACAGCUCCCAUCCUCACCGGUCUGCUGGUGGUGUGACUGCAUUGUCAAAGUGGAAAGUUUUCCUGCUACAGUUUGGAUCGGGAGUGCUGUUUGAAGACCCUUUGUUCAAUGCUUGGCCUCCAGUUUAACAAGAGGUGAAAGAGUCGGUCACAGGAGCACCCCAUCCACUCUAGCAAGCUACCACCCCUCUUCACUGGACAGCUGAUCGACCUCAAGACUGUUGUACCUGCUUUCACCCCUGCUGCCUCAGAAGAAGUGUUAAAGUUGCCUUGUUCAACUCUCCUGAGCCUGCUGUGUUCAUCACUUUUUAACUUUCCAUUCAGAGACAAGUUGAUAUCUUGAAAUUGGCCACAGGGAGAUUAUUUAGACCACAGAAAAUGGUCUGCUACAAGUCAGGGCUUUUUAAAAAAUAGUUCCCAGAGAACUGAUUGUCAACAUUUACUGACACACUACUGCCUAUAUUGCAUUCUCCAUGUAGCCAUAACAGUGAUAUUCAGAAAACAUAAACAAUGUCAUGUAGUUUCAAGUUUUAAAACCUACCGCGACUGCAGGUUUUAGAAUCUAUUCACCAGAUCCAAUAAGGUCUUGCUCUACAUUCUAGAGUGAAUGUCUUAAGUUAGUCACUUGAUCCUGGACCCCUCAGCCUCCUAUCCAUCCCUCACCCUCUGUCCCUCUUCUAGGAGCAUGCGCAUUGACUUGCAGCUUGGCCUGGACUCCUCCACUGACCUCUGCUACCUUCACAUUGGAAAAAAUAGACUUCGUGCUCAGGGCUACUGUCUCCUCUUUUUACAGGGAUUAGGAAUGACACUCCUUUGCCACUAUUCAUUUACCCAUUACAGCACAUAAGUGUUUUGUCAUUGAGUUCCUUGUAACCCCUUCAUAAAGUUUGUUGUUUUUUGUAAAAUUGUUUUCAUUGUUUUGAAAUAAUAAAAUGUUUGAGAAAG